Molecule: long non-coding RNA, 219 nt
Filed under: Lathyrus oleraceus (garden pea)
Lineage: Eukaryota; Viridiplantae; Streptophyta; Magnoliopsida; Fabales; Fabaceae
Description: Pisum sativum (pea) long non-coding RNA (PSAT_LNC011461)
Source: RNAcentral
AAUUACGUGGGUCCCCAGCAAGUCAAUCCUAUCACCCUCCUUCAAAAAAAAGCAAGAUCAAAGGGCGACCAAAGGCAUAAAGGCUAUAGCAGAGUUAGAAUUUGGAGGAAACUCGAGAUGUUUCAUUGCCAUUGCAAUUAUCAUUUUCUUUUCGCAAUCACCUCUUUUAGGAAUUGCUUUCCUUUGUACAAAAUUCCCUAUUUGUGGAACCACUUGUCA